RNAcentral lists this unclassified non-coding RNA (246 nucleotides) under Hevea brasiliensis (rubber tree). The record is from RNAcentral. Lineage: Eukaryota; Viridiplantae; Streptophyta; Magnoliopsida; Malpighiales; Euphorbiaceae.
GGACCAUUCCACGAGGCGGCGCCGCUGCUGCGCUGAACCAGCGCGCUGAGUCCUUCCGAGCCGGUCGGAUAACGGCCCGUGUCGAGAUAGUACAGGUCGAGCGCACUGGAAAAGCCCUGAAUCUGAAUCCUGGCCNACCUUUGACUCGCCAAGAUAAUUCAACACGCGCGGUCCAAUGAGCCCGACGACGAGGCCGAUGAUGGUGAUCACGACCAGGAUCUCGAUCAGCGUGUAGCCGUCCUCGCC